Mesocricetus auratus (golden hamster) is the source of this 4274-nucleotide long non-coding RNA. RefSeq lists it as uncharacterized. The transcript has 7 exons. The record is from RefSeq and is a predicted model, not a curated record. Lineage: Eukaryota; Metazoa; Chordata; Mammalia; Rodentia; Cricetidae.
GCCCCUCCCUGCCAGAGGUCCCGCCCCUCCCCGAGUUGGAGACCGAGGCCGAGCAGCGGAAGGAGCCGAGAGCUAGGGAUCGUGGCCGCACGUGGAGCGCUGCCCUUCCAGCCCCAUUCCGCCCCGGACCUAACCAAUAAUCCCGCGGAGGGGUGAAGGUGGCCCGCGCGGCGGCGAGCGGUACAGAAGGCAGCAAGAAAUGAUUUCAUUAACUCUAAAGACCCCAGGAGAGCGUGGAGGUUUCCUUGCCCCCUUUAGUAGUCAGGAGAAGUGACGUCCACUCCUCUGUUUUGCACACAUCUGGACCUGCAGCGGUGACUGGAAGGUUAGGGAGAGCGACCCCAGCUGGCUGCGAGGAUUGCCACCCACAGAACUACACACUGUGUUUGGUGUUCAGUGGGCGUUGCUGCUCUAAUGAGGGGGCGGUCGGUGUGUCUGGCUUUGCCAGGAUCUCCCUGUGUAUCCCUGGAUGUCCUGAAACUCACAGAAGAGACCUUGCUGCCUCUACCUCACAAAUGCCGGCAUUAAAGGCAGCCCCUGCUCUGCGGCAAACACGCUCUGCCUAUGCUCUUUUUACCCGUAUCUUCCGUGUAUUGAAUCUCUUCUUCAGGACCAAGUCUUGCCCUCCAAAUCUAAUCUUCCUCUUGGAAAAAGAAAAGUGUCCUUCAGAUGUAGUACUCGGAGGGAGGACCCUGGAAGGGGACACACAGCGGGGCAGAGCUCUUCAUGGCCAUCAGGAAGCAGAGAGAAAUAGAAGAGGUCCCACUCUCCUUCACGGCAACUCUGCAGAGGCAUAAACGUGCUUUUACUCCGCCUCACAUCCUGAAUGCUCCAGACUCCCCAGAAACAUCACAGAUUUCCCAUCUAGAUAUUCUGCCUGUCUAUUGGCUGAAACAACUUUAUUCAUCAACCAAUAAAAGUAAUACAUAUUCUCAGCAUAAAGGACAUCCCACACCAAAGUUUAAAUGUACUGACUUAUGAUUGGUUUCCAUUUAUUUCAAUCUUACAGCACAAUUUAGGAAAGAGCCAUCAUAGCUUGACGAUGAGGUUGGAUGUACCACUGUGGCUUUAAUAAAUUCAGGGACUAAAGAUCUAUUGGAAAAAACUCUGCUAUCAAUUGAGAAAACAAGUUUUAAAAAAUGAAAAAACAUAACUCAAGACACCUUCUUUAUUCAUCGUGUAUCUCUCUCGUUUCCUGCCUUUCUUAUCAUACUGUGAAAAACUGACUACACUAACAUUUUAUCUUACUUUUUCUUUUUAAAGAAAGUCACCUUUGAGGAAUGGGCUGGGGAGAAUUUUGAGACCUGAUGCCUCUUCCCUAACUAUGGUCUUCUAGGGAGAUCCUUCAGCUAAGCUGGCUACCAGAUGAGUAGUGACAAGAGGAAGAGACGCGGUGAGAAAGAGGGCGUGGCAAAGCUGACACUGUACCACGUGACCGGAAGGCAUAGCUCGCGCUGGCACAAGAUGAAACACUAAACAUGGAGCAUUUUGUCUGACUCCAGCAACGUAGAAAUUAGCUUUUUCUAGUUCUCGAAUAAAAUCCCCAGAGCUUGAGGGACCUCUGCAACUUUCCUGACAUCCCACCAUCAGGUAGUGUUCCAUCAGUUAAGCUCGAUCGGUGUGGGGUUCAAGAAAGCAGGUAUGCUAUGGACCUCCAGUCAGGCCUAAAGAGGAGGCAGGCUCCGCUGGAGGCAUGUCUGGACCCCGUGCGGUGAGAUGAGGGGGCAUGGAAGACACAAAAGGCUGGCAGGGUAGAUAGGGUUCCAGAGGGGCUUGAGCCAAGGCCAAGACCAAGCUGCCUUAAAUGAGUGGUAUCCAAGCCUGGACCUCAGUCAUUAGAGGUCUUAAUGAUGUUUAAAUCCUGCCUUAGUUUAAACGUGUGGCGAUUCAUGGAGUCACCAAGAACAUUGAUCAAAUGGGUUGCAGGCUCCCGUGGAUGUAAGAGGAUUUGCCUCGAGCCUCUGACAGACACACCUUCUGUUGCAAAGUUCAAGAACCAUGACAACAGGAAGCCUGGCACAGGGUCCUCCUCCUGGGUGUUCAGUACUUAACAGGAUUGUGAAUGACAGGAAUGGCUGGAGGAAUCCGUCUCUCGGUGGUCUCUCAUUAGUGACUGGUAAGUUUUCCCUCAUCAAGGCAGCAGGGACCGCAUCGGCUAGCUAUCAAGGUUGGUGCAUCUCUCCUCAGAAAAUCAGAAUACCUGAGCUCUUUUGGUCAUUUGAACCAAACUUUCAGUUAAGACCAGCUUUCUGAAGCAGUUACAGUUAGGAGGGUGGUUCAGUGCAGAGAACCCUGGGAACGUGAAUAAAUGCUUCUGGAAUCUAGGCCCAGCAGGUGGUCCUGAUGCAGAUUGGACUCUUUGGCUUAGUCUUGCCUGAGGACCCUCCUUCAGGAUGCUCCUACUUGGGAAGGCCACAGGCAGAAAGCUUCCCAUUCACCUUCAGCCGCUUGUACACACUGGGCAAUCCCCAGGACACACCAUGGCAUCAAGGCCCGGAGCCCCCUGAACUUUGGAAGGCUGCAGUGGCUCAUUAUUGAAAUCCCAUCUUGGCAUAUUUUCCUUCUACAUGGCUAGAGUGUAGUGGAUAGCAGAAUGGAGGAGAGAGAAGACAUCCAGGCUAUUCUAGCCCUGCUCUCUCCCCCUCACACACAGCUACUCAAUCCUACCAAUUUGUGCUGCCUAAAUACUUCAGUUCUUUUUAACCAUCUUGGGGAGGGGGAGGAUGAAGUAUUACACCAGCUAUCGAAGCAAAGCUUGGAGGACAAGGAGUUGCUGAGGCAGAAAAUUCCCAAGUGGCUGACUUGAUGGAUGAUAGGACAUUGUCUCCUGGGGAUGUAAUGAUUCCAGGCUGCUUUUCAGCAACCAAAAAUAAACCUUCCCUCUGCACAACGGGCAGGCGAAGAGCUUAACAUCUACAUCUGCAGCUUAAGUCUGUUUCCUUUCCUGGGCUUCCCAGGCUCCGACUCAGGUCCUCUCAUGUUGGCCUUCAAAUCUGGAGCAGGACCGUGGGAAGGACCCUGGGAUAAUUGCUUUUUGGUUGAGCAUCUUUCAUCUGAGGAUCUUUAAGUACUUUAUAAACACUAAUUAAAUUGCCACAACAAGCAACAUUUUAGAAUGCAUAAUGACUGUCUAGCACCCCAACUCUGGGCCAACUCCUUAAAGAUGGGGAACUGAAGGAUGGCAUGGCUAGACUUCAGAGGCUGACUUAUCACAGAGGAGAGGCCCCAAGGUGAGUGUUCCUCAUUUCCAGUCUGUACAGAAGAGGACCAAAGCCAUGGAGAGUCAUGUGAUCCUUACGCAAAUACACACUAUGAAUUACUACGACUGGAAAGACAAUAAUAUGUCUACGUGCAAACUGUAAAAACUGCAAUACUGAUACCACUUUAAACAUUCUUUCCUGUUCCAAGAAACUUAGCAUCUUUUUGUUUCAGUUUUCCACUUAUAAAAUGGUGACGGACAGGACCCCCAAAUCUCUUACACAGUUGGGCAUUCUAAAACCUAAAGAAAGUACUUGUGUGCCUCCCAGUGACGACGACACACCCCCAGAUUGAAGUCUACCACUUUUACCAUUCAGGGUUUUCAUGACUAGGAGUGUCUGCUUUCUAUUUUGUUCCAGGAUGUUAGCCUCUAAGAUGCUCUGUUAUCAGGCAACCCCACUGCAGUAAGACUUCUCUGAGCCCCGGAUUCCUCACAGAGCUGGUAGGAGAAUUGAGUGAUGGGUUUAGAGCCAUGCUCAUAAGACAGACUGAUUAACAAUGAUUAAAAAUGGUGUUCACUUUUCUGAAUUUAAGAAACAAAACCAGCUGAGGCACUUCUCCAUGCAAAGCUUCCAUGUUGCUCUGUUUUUGAAAAAUUAUUUUGGAGUAUCUCCACUUGGGUUAUCCUCUCCAAUCAACCAACCACACACACACACACACACACACACACACACACACACACACACAGAGUUACUAGUAGCUAAUCUUUAUUUUUCUAAUUAUUUUACUAUUUCCCCCUUUAAAAUUUGUAAUUUAGACUCAAGUCUGAUGGGAGAAAAUAAUCAAGAGGGGAAAAAUUACAGCCUGGCUUUUGAAUUUCUCCUCUGUCCUGUGAGUUAUCCCCAGAGGCAAUUCCAGGCAAGGGCUUGCAUAAACAUUUAGAAUAAAAUGGUGGGCAGUCAUGGGAAGGUGGAACUUCCUGGGCUUGUUAGUGGAAAGAUGGUCUUCAUCUAUGCUUGACUUAAGAAAAAAAAGAUGUGUGUGAGCCCAGCACUUGGGAGGCAGAGGCAGGUGGG